This 209-nucleotide ribosomal RNA is filed under the name uncultured prokaryote. RNAcentral's name for it is "partial 16S ribosomal RNA". It matches the Rfam family "Bacterial small subunit ribosomal RNA", at positions 525 to 733 of the family's 1533-position model. The record is from RNAcentral.
GCGAAGGGUGCAAGCGUUAAUCGGAAUUACUGGGCGUAAAGCGUGCGUAGGCGGUUUCUUAAGUCUGCCGUAAAAGCCCCGGGCUCAACCUGGGAAUGGCGGUGGAUACUGAGAAGCUGGAGUACGGUAGAGGAAGGUGGAAUUCCCGGUGUAGCGGUGAAAUGCGUAGAGAUGGGGAGGAACACCAAUGGCGAAGGCAGCCCCCUGGG